RNAcentral lists this ribosomal RNA (492 nucleotides) under uncultured bacterium. Its description in RNAcentral is "SSU rRNA". It matches the Rfam family "Bacterial small subunit ribosomal RNA", at positions 26 to 523 of the family's 1533-position model. The record is from RNAcentral.
AGAACGAACGUUAGCGGCGCGCCUAACACAUGCAAGUCGAACGAGAAAGGGCUUCGGCCCCGGUAAAGUGGCGCACGGGUGAGUAACACGUGGAUAAUCUUCCCUCGAGCAGGGGAUAACAUUCCGAAAGGAGUGCUAAUACCGCAUAAGACCACGGAGCCGAAAGGCACUGAGGUAAAAGCAGGCCUCUAUACAUAAGCUUGCACUUGAGGAUGAGUCCGCGGCCCAUCAGGUAGUUGGUUGGGGUAAUGGCCCACCAAGCCUAAGACGGGUAGCUGGUCUGAGAGGAUGAUCAGCCACACUGGAACUGAGACACGGUCCAGACUCCUACGGGGGGCAGCAGUGAGGAAUUUUCGUCAAUGGGGCAACCCUGAACGAGCAACGCCGCGUGCAGGAAGAAGGUUUCGGAUCGUAAACUGCUUUUCUCGGGGAAGAGAACGGACGGUACCCGAGGAAUCAGCCCCGGCUAACUCGUGCCAGCAGCCGCGGUAA